This 253-nucleotide ribosomal RNA is filed under the name Potentilla tollii. RNAcentral describes it as "5.8S ribosomal RNA". The stretch from base 6 to 161 matches the Rfam family "5.8S ribosomal RNA". From Rfam's summary of the family: 5.8S ribosomal RNA (5.8S rRNA) is a component of the large subunit of the eukaryotic ribosome. It is transcribed by RNA polymerase I as part of the 45S precursor that also contains 18S and 28S rRNA. The record is from RNAcentral. Lineage: Eukaryota; Viridiplantae; Streptophyta; Magnoliopsida; Rosales; Rosaceae.
UAAACGACUCUCGGCAACGGAUAUCUCGGCUCUCGCAUCGAUGAAGAACGUAGCGAAAUGCGAUACUUGGUGUGAAUUGCAGAAUCCCGUGAACCAUCGAGUUUUUGAACGCAAGUUGCGCCCGAAGCCAUUAGGCCGAGGGCACGCCUGCCUGGGCGUCACACGUCGUUGCCCCUCCCAACCCCUUCGGGAGUUGGCUGGGACGGAUGAUGGCCUCCCGUGCGCUCCGUCGCGCGGUUGGCAUAAAUAACAA